This is an RNA transcript of Lepisosteus oculatus (spotted gar), 6097 nucleotides long. It is a transcript of the gene named cAMP responsive element binding protein-like 2, with no coding region annotated. The record is from RefSeq and is a predicted model, not a curated record. NCBI's taxonomy places the organism in Eukaryota, Metazoa, Chordata, Actinopteri, Semionotiformes, Lepisosteidae.
CCAAAGUGGGGGGGGGGGGAUCAGCUGUUUUGAAGCAAUUGUAACAGGAAGCAGGAGAGUAGAAGUAAACAAUGCGAAGAGUUGAUGUUUUCUCGUAAAAAUACUCAUAUUUUUCGCAACGUUCGUUAUUUUGCAUUGACCCGUGUCAUUGAUUUAUUACCGUCUUAUUUUGCCACGUCUUUGUAAAUUUAAAAUAGAUCGUUUAUCUUCUGUUGAAGGAAAUUCAGUAGCUUGGACGGUCCAAAAUGGAUGACAGUAAGAUGGUGGGAGGCAAAGUGAAGAAACCAGGCAAGCGUGGCCGCAAGCCAGCUAAGAUCGACCUGAAGGCUAAGCUGGAGAGGAGCCGGCAGAGUGCAAGAGAGUGCCGGGCCAGGAAGAAGCUCAGAUACCAGUACUUGGAAGAGCUGGUCUCCAGCAAGGAGAGAGCCAUCUGUGCAUUGCGGGAGGAGCUGGAGAUGUACAAGCAGUGGUGCUCAGCAAUGGAUCAAGGAAAGAUUCCUUCUGAAAUCAAGGCUUUGCUGACAGGGGAUGAGCAUAAGACCUCACAAAGCAGCAGCAAGACCAUCAAGAAUGGCAAGAAUAACACAGCCAGCUGUGGACAAUAGUGAAGAACCUAUAUAGUCAUAUUCGGACAGCCCUGCGAUGGUGAGCUCGUCUCUCAGCAACAAACUCUGCGACGAAACAGUUGAAAGUGAGAAAAUGUAGGAAGACACCUCUGACCCAUCCACCUUCAAACCGAUCAUCUUUCUACACGUCACAGGCAGCACCUCUGUGUUGAAACCAGAUCUUCAGCGCCAAUUACAGGAGAGGUGUGUUUCUUACCCAAAGCCCGACGCUACCACCAAGUGCCUGCAAGGCUGCAGGGGUUGCUGUGUUGCUAGGAGAGCCCUGUCCUACUUAUCGUACCCUACACUAAGUGGCAUUUAGAAAGCUGUGUAGUGCCGCUUGGGGAAUCCUGGUCAGAGUUGGCUAGUGGCAUGUUCUUGAAAUGAACACAUGAUCAUAGUGCUCAAUCUGUGCUCAGGCACACAACUUUAUCAUUUCUGCCUCUUGGGAGGCCCUAAACAGUGAUUUGAAAAUGUGACUAAGUGUCUGUAAUAUUCGCUUACUCAUAUAGGUGAAUCCCUUUCCCCUGCCCCUCACACAGAUUCAUACAUGCUGGCCCAUAAAAGUACAAUAGGGUUAUACAGCUAUUAAGACAAACAUUUUAUAAGCACACACAUUUAAGAUGGUGUACAUCUUUGUAGUAUUUGUGCAUGUGGCAUUGGCAGGAAGAAAGUUUAAGAACUUGCAGCUUUCACUAAAGAAACUCUGGAAUAAGGAUAAGGAUACCUUGAAACAAUGUUUCUGAAUAAUACAUUUUAUUUUCAAUUAAACAGGGGGAUUCUCAUAUUUUUCAUUAAAUUGCAAGUCAAUUUAGUCAUUGUCCCAUGAUUUAGAACAGCCCAUUGUGUACUUUUGACAUCUUAGCUUGGAGUUAUGAACCCCACAACUGCACAGAGGGGAGAAUGAGGAAGUUUAGGUUGGCCCCUCCAAUCUGCAUACCAACACGCCAUUUGUCUUUUAACACAUGGGCAACAGAGAUUCAAUGCCAACAGGUGGAGAGGUGCACCCUUCACUGACAGCACCUGCAUGCUACAUCCUUGUCAGUGAGAGCUGAGAAAGCCCCUAACCUACCCUUGGCAGCACUCAGACAUUUGUGUGCAGUACUGCUUGCAGAAACCCAGUCACAAUGGGCUACAGACAUUACACAGGCUCAAGCACAUCAUCGUAGAGCUCUUUACUAGUGGAGCGUCUCGGAAACUCCCCCCUUUUUUUAAAUACAAAAUGAGCCUUUUGAAUCUAUUUCACACACCAGUUUUACACUGCCUGUGACUCAAAAUGAAAAAACAAAUGUAAACUGCUGGGUUUAAUGCCUACUCUAAUUAGGUCAGUUUGAGAAAGCAGCACAUGUGUGAUGCAUCUUAUUUCACUGAUGUUAUAACAGGAUAUGGGCAAGUAUUAGGUGGCAUGGAAGGACAUGACAUGACGAAGAUACUGUCUCCCAGCCCUACCAGUAUUCUACCUAGUUUUGUGGCAUAAAGUGUUACAUAUGGUUUCCUGUUUGGUGCUUUUGAAACAGCAAAGGCUAGCAAACAGGAGACAGUUCACUACAUUUAAAUGUGAUUACAAUAUUAAUUCACCUUCUUGCAAUUCACCUGUUAUAUCGAAACCUGUCUGUUAUUUAGCACUUUAGAGGAAUGAGGUUCCAUGAAGCUAGAUAUUGCAACUGUUGCUCAUGGUAAAUGUUACUUAAAAAUUAAGGAAGAUUAAUUUGUUUCCGUCUUUAUAUAGAUAUAAAUUAUAAGAUCAUUAUUUCCUUUUCUUGUUUUUAUAAGAUCACAAAUCUUCUAAGAGUUCAUCAGUGCCAUUUUGAUAAAACAUACAUGAUAUAGAAUGUAAUUUCUUAGAGAAAAUGAGAACAAAAACGUCUUGAAUGUCCCCUUACAAUGAGGAUAUAUUUGUAACAUUAUCUUAAUUUAAGACAUAUGUUGUAUAGUGAUUAUUGAUCUGAAUACUUUUUGUUCCAUUUUUUGCUGUUAAUAGAUAGUUAUAAAUAGGGAGUGUUAUAUAAAGGUAACAGUGAAUGAAUUUAAAUUCAAAAUAACUACGUGCUCUCUAUUAUCAGGAAUGUAAGCCUACCAAGCAGUUUGCAUGGUUUAUUUGCUACUCUGGCACAGUGCUUUCCCUUUUGCAGUGAAAUGCUGGAGCAACAAGGAGGCAAAAACUUAAAAGCCAAAUAUUUAUUUACUACACAUUAUUGCAAGCUAACAAAUCAACACAUACAGUAUACUACUGUUUACAAAUUAUUAGCAAAGACUGCAAGUCCCUGAACCCAGGCUUUUUACAGUCCAAAGCUACUCUCGUUCCUGAAAAGAUAGACGAGCCUUAGUGCAAACUAAAAGCCACGUGGCAGACAAUAGGGAGACAAUGCUGGAUUCUGAACAACAAAAGAUCCUUUACAAGAUAAUCUGCUCUGUAACAUAUAUAGAGUUGUUACUCUGUACCAAGCAAUGCAUUCCAGAGAUUCAAGCUGUUACUGGCAGAUACUAAAACAAAUCUUUCCUCAAUUAUAAAAACCGCAGCCCUUUCCCCCUAAGUAUAGUUAUAAUUCCAUUAUGCGAUCAAAGAUACUAGUUAUGUUUCGUAACAAAAAGCGUAGGCUGAAAUGGUGAUGCUUUGGAUCUGCAGAAAAGUGAAACUCAUUCAGAGUGUUUUGCUUCUUUCUGUUCCGGAGUAUAAGAGAGAAUCAGCUGUUUCCUGUUGUGGCUAAUUCUACUUCUUACAUACUGAGAUGGUCUUCCUGCACCAGCCUGUCACUUCUUAGACCCCAUGUCCCAUGUCUCCCUAGGGACAUACCUCCUUUUAGUGGAUAGUUGUAAAGGACACUCUAAGAAACUUGUUACCUGACCCGUGACUUUGCAAACUGCAGAGCUCUUCAUAUGCAGUGUAGGCACUAAACAGAUGGCCUUAAUAAGCCAUCCGUGUACCCCGAGUUGAGUUCUGGCUUGUAUUGGCUGAAUACUACUGAAUAUAAAAUGGCAAUUACAACAAUAAUAUUUAUUUGAAUAUUGAAUUGAGCACUUAAGUCCCUUGCAUCACCAAGAGAUCAUUUAUAAUGAAAUAAAAAAAAAGAUUUUUAUCAUAUAAUUAUAUUGAAUGUUAAGAUAGAAAGGUGGGUCUAAAAUAAGUUUCUAAAGACUACUUUGAUGUGUAUCUGAUUAAUGCUAAUUUCAGAUUUUUUCUUUUAUAUAUCAGUCUAUAUAUAUAUUGAGUCUGUAAGUACACAUGUACUGCAGUCCAUGUACUAAACAUGAUUAUGUAUAGCCUUGCAUGUUGGGAUGCAUGUUGUUUGGCAAAUUAAAUGCAUCUCUUCAUUUAAACUCUUCACUUAAAAGACCAAUGCAUUUUAACUAGCCCAUUGUUUAUGUUAAAAAGUGUUAAAUUUGUAACCGAGCAUAUGAAAAUCUGUCUGCAUUUAAUCUUAUCCACAGCUAUCUUGAAUGUAGCAUAGAAUAUCAAGAUAAACAUUAAUACAGAGUACUUUAAAGAUGGGUCAUAGCUAAACAGAUUAUUUUAGUUUUGGACAAUGUCCAUUUACACUAAAUUAGGCAGUAUAAACAUGACAUUAUUCAUUUAACCUGUGAAAAAAUACAUUUUUUAAAAAAUUACUGCCUAAAGAAGCUUUUGUGAAAGAAUGUAGUAGAAUUUUAACUAGACUGCAACUUGAACUUCCUACCUGUAUUGUGAAGAGCUUCAGAAACCUAUUUAACAUGAUUGCCAAGUACGUUUGUUUGAGAAUUUGAUAAAAGCAACCUGUACUUUUGAAAGUCAUGCCUCCUUUGUUAUAGUUUGUAACAUUUCAAUAAUAGUAGAUUGUAUAUGUAUAGCGAUUAUACCAUUAUUGUGAUGUGUAAUGACUUCUCCUAGUACAGUAUAUAAUUUUGACAAAAUCUGCAAUGCAAAAAAUAUUUAUUGUUUUCAUGUGUUCAAAUUUUUGUUAGCUGUUUAUGUUGAUGCACUUUUGAGUUUAGAGCUAUUAAUGUGUUUUCAUGUCUAUUUUCUGUCCUGUUGCUAAGAGUGCUUGUAGUUCAGUCAUAGUGGCUGAAAUACUCUUUAAGCUGUAAUUGGAAAUCGUUUUGUUAAACAGUUCAUUGUGAAGGCUUUGAAACAAGAAAUCUUAUUUUUGAGUUUACUGAAUAAAGUUCUAUCCUGUUAUAGUGCCAUGCACUUCACAGUGAAGCAGAUCCUGGAGUUCUUGCCAUUUGUUUGGCUUACCACAGGCACCUACUGCAGAUGGUCUCAAUGAUUUUACAUACCAGGCUGCUCUGUAAUGUAAGAAUUUUGCAAUUGCAGAAAUCCUACCCAAAGAGGAUGCCAGAUGUAAAAAGUAACACAGUAAAGCACAUGAGCCCAGUGAGCACUGUUCAGAGGUUUUUAAGCACGUUUUAACUGUGUGGAUAAAACAAACUUCACAGUAAUGCAUACAUUACUAUAUUAUAUGUUAUAUGUUGGGUCAUAUUUGAAGGAAACAGGCAUUUGUUCAUUUGCUGUUUCAUAUUUCUUGGAGUUGUGUUACACCUCAAUCAAUAUUACCUGCUAUCUUCUUUUAGCCUCCAUCUAAGUCAAAUUAAUUGACAAAUGUGUCCGGUUAUGUUUUGCACUUUAAUUAUAGCUUGCACUAGAAAAAAAGUCACACUUUAGUUUAGGGGUUGGAAAAUUAAUUAAUUUGACUGAUAUUUUUAUCCACAUUGAUUUAAAUUUUUACCUAGCAAAAUACAGCUGGGUAUUUUACUGGAGCAAUAUGGGUGAAGUACCUGCCAUAUCUCAGCUGGAUUAUAAACACACAUCCUCCCGGUUUUGAGUCUGGAACCCCAAUCACUGAUCCCCAAAGAUAAAAAGCUAACUGUUAAUACAUUCAUAAAGUAUUAUAGGUGUAAUAAGUUACCUUCUGUAAAUAAUCCUAGGGCUAUGGUUUUGUUAUAAUGAUGCAGUAAAUCUACCAUGGAUGUUGAUUAUUAGCACACUUAUAUCACUCUGUUAAUACUUUAUUAAUGUAUUACAUUAAUCACAUUAUGUGAAUUGCAGUUUCAACUCCUAUUGUAAGUGUUAUCGGAAAUUCAGCAGGGCUGAAUAUAUCCGCUCUGUAGUAUUGUAUUAAAAACACUCAAAAAUGAAAAGUUGGAAAAACAUCCUGUUUGUUAAUAUAUCUGGCUGAAACUAAUGCAGGAAAAAGUAAAAUUAUUUUUGCAGACUCCAUGGGUUGGAGUUGGAAGAAUUGAAUUUUCUAGACAGUUAUGCUGUUUUUAAUCAAUGUUUAAGUUUUAGAAACAAUUGCAUGUCUGAGUAAAUUUUGUGAAUGUCACCUUCUCUUCAAUUACUUACUUUUCCUUACUGUUGUUCAAUUGUAAGUAUUGUAAAGUUUAUUGUGAGUGGCAAAGCUAUAUUUUUACAUUUCCAAAAAAAGAUAUAUGAUGUCUGAUUGCUUAAAUUACAAAUAUCUAUUUUUUGUUAGUAUAACUCACAGUUUAUGCUAUUAAAGCUGGUCUAGCAUCUC